This is a long non-coding RNA of Suricata suricatta (meerkat), 688 nucleotides long. RefSeq lists it as uncharacterized. The record is from RefSeq and is a predicted model, not a curated record. The transcript has 2 exons. NCBI's taxonomy places the organism in Eukaryota, Metazoa, Chordata, Mammalia, Carnivora, Herpestidae.
ACUGGCCUGAAUCCACCUGUAUCCUUAUCUGUAUUCUUAUCUUGUUUACAGGUUGUUUGGUUUUGUUUUGUUUGCACUGAUCUUUGCUUCUGGAGUAAACCGAAGUCCAAAUUGUCGUUUUGAUCGUUUUUGGCUUGGUGGAAUACAGAUGUCCACUGACCACCCGGAAGUUAGCUGCACACACAAGAAUUAAGGGUAUAUCACACACUGCCAAGCUGUGUCCAAAUGGAGCAACAAAGAAUAAUAAUUGGUCGUUUCACAUAACUGAACCUCAAGUAUAUCCUCGUCCAGCUGCGUCACAAAGCUGUAUCACCUUCCAUCUACUGGCCGGUUUGCUUCACCCACAUGACCAUUAUCCCAUCCCGUGCUUCUACCCUCCCAUAAUUACCCCAGAGUUUCAACUUAUCCACUUGCCAUUUGAAUGGCUUCCUUUUGUAAACCCCUUGCUCAUGUUCCUUGUCUGUUUUGUGUGAUCAUCUUUUUUCUUUCUGACUUAGAACGCUUUAUUACUAAGAACAUCAACUAGCUGAUUGCUGCACGUGGUGCAAGUUGUUUACCUGCUUUUCAUUUUGUUUUGGUUAUUUCAUGUAUUGUCUUAUUAUUUAUACAGACUUAUCAACUACGUAUGUAUUUUUUCCAACACUGGAAAGAAUUAUAUGACACCAGUUAAAUAAAUAUGGUUUUCUGA